This is a non-coding RNA of Podarcis lilfordi (Lilford's wall lizard), 4561 nucleotides long. The record is from the annotation of a GenBank genome assembly. Lineage: Eukaryota; Metazoa; Chordata; Lepidosauria; Squamata; Lacertidae.
AAACCGAGGCGGUGGUGUGCUGCUGCUGCUGCCGCCACCACCACCACCACCAGCGCCUUCUUUUCCUCCUCUUCCAGAAGCAGCCAUUGGCUAAGACCCGAAUCCACGUUUCCUUGGGGGUAAGGCACCCACCCCCACCCCCGUUCUCACGGAGGUUCGCUCUCCGCCUCCAGGGGCUCGCGGGGCUGAGAUCCGACACUCACUUUUUUUGGAGAGCUCCAUGGAAUUAAGAGGGACGGUCGACCUCCGAAGAAAGGGGCGCGCGGAAUCCGGCGGCGCGCGCGUCUCUUCUGGGAGAGCAUUGGGGCCGCUGCUGCAGUUUCCGCGAGCGAGGCUUCGGGCACCUUGGACUGCUUCCCAACGCGGCUGGUUUAGGCUGUCGAGGUGCCAGGAUCAGUCCUCGGGCCAAUCCCUGGCUGUGCCAUGAGUUCCCCUCCCUUCCUCCGCUGUCCUCCAUUUUUCUUAUCAACCAUCUCCAAGCGCCUGGGGGUUAGCAUUUAACCCAAAGGUGCGAUACUCACAGCGCCAUCGCACCUAUAUUUGCUUAAAAGGAAGCCACGCUGUGAGAGCCACGCGUAUUUCAUGUCCAUUUUUGCUUGUGUGUGUGUGUGGAUUUGGUUCAGGUUCCUGUAUUCUUCACACUUUCCACUCCCAGAAUGAUUUGUUGAGCCUCCUGUUAAGGGUUGUACUGCACCUUCUCAAACUGUGUGAUAUAGAAGCCUAUUGUCCCCUUAUUUAAGUGCCAAGAACAUCUUUGUUCCUUGGGUGAGAUUACAAACAUAUAUAGAGCCAGUGAGGUGAAAUGGUUAGAGUGUUAGACUAGGACUUAAGAGACCAGCCUUGAAGCUCCCUGGGUAACCUUGGGCCAGCACUCAUCAUCUCUCAGCCUAACCUACCUCACUACCUGUUGUGAGGAUAAGAUGCCACCCUCAUUAAACUUACUACAGUACAGGGCCAACUGCAUACGACUGGGUUCAUAUUCCUAGGUGAGAAUGAGGUUUUCAGCGAAGGGAGAUAGGCAGUUCUAUGCUUAGGUAUUCUAAGUGCCAUUUAACUUUGCAAGGGUUGCCAAUAUGGGUUUUAAAUAUACCCAGAGAGGAAAUUUUGAUUGGCCAAGGGGUGGAGCCUAUGCCUACGUUUGCAUGUCCAGGAGUGGAACCUGGUAGAUGAAGGGUUCAGUCAAUUUAGUAUUUUCUUUGUUAUUGGUUGUGUGGAUCCUCUAUGCUCAGAAGCUGGAAGGCUGCCAUCAUAACACCACCUACUUAAGAGUAAGCUCCAUUGAGUUGACACACACAAUAAGCCACUAACACUUGUCAGAUGGCAACACAUUGCAGGGGCUAUUACCUGCAUGCCCUACUUGUGGGCAUCUGAUUGGCCACUGUGAAAAUCAAGAUGCUGGAUCACAUUUGGUCUAAUCCAGCAGGGAUCUCAUUAGUUUUGUACUUCAAGUGGUUCAACUUGGCUCACAGAUCCCUAAAAUAAAGAAUACACAUUUGACAGAUUGGGAAACGAGCAGAGUGAAACCAACAACGCACACAAAAAUGUUAAGCAUGGUAUAUAUAAGAUUGGUAACAUUGCAAAACAUUCCUAAGUAAUGAUAUAAUAACUUUAGACUCAAAGCAACUCCAGUCAUUCAUUCAUUCUUUAAAUUUCUUUACCGCCCUUCAUCCAAGGAUCACGGGGCAGUUUACAAAAAUACAUAACAUAUUAAUGAACAGAAUGCACCCCUGCAGAGAUAGAAGUACCCUUGUCUAUGAAAAUCCUUCAAUAAAAACAGUUGUUUAAUUAGCCAAAGGCCUGUUUGAAAAGAAAUGUUUUUGCUUGGUGCUUAAAGAUGAAGGUGCCAGGCAAGCCUCUCUGGAGAGAACAUUCCACAAAUGGGGCCACUACAGAAAAGGCCUGUUAUCGUGUUGAUGGUCUCCAUGCUUCUCAUGGAGGAGGGACAUGAAGAAGGGCUUCAGAUGGCUAUCGCAGGAUUCGGGUUGAUUUAUAUGGGGUGAGACAGUCCUUGAGGUAUUGCAGUCUGGAGCCUUUUAAGGCUUUAAAGGGCAAUGCUAGCAUUUUGAAUUGGGCCCAGAAACUAAUUGGCAGUUCCUGCAGUUUGGCCAAAAAACCAUCUUGCCCUGGCACGGAAUUCUGCACUGGUUGAAGCUUCCAAACUGUCUUCAGAGGCAGCCCCACAUAUAAUGCAUUGCAGUACAGUGGUACCUCAGGUUAAGAACUUAAUUUGUUCUGGAGGUCCGUUCUUAACCUGAAACUGUUCUUAAUCUGAGGUACCACUUUAGCUAAUGGGGCCUCCUACUGUGGUCGCACUGCUGCUGCAUAAUUUUUGUUCUCAUCCUGAAGCAAAGUUCUUAACCCGAGGUGCUAUUUCUGGGUGAGCGGAAUCUGUAACCUGAAGCGUCUGUAACCUGAGGUACCACUGUAAUCCAAGGCCAUUUAGAGACCCUAAACACUCAAAAGAUUUUGGUGCUCCCAUAUAUAUCUAUAAUUCAAAAUAUAAACAAUAGUAAACCGUAAAAUAUUGACCUCUACCUUUAUUUUAUGAAGUUCAGCAUAACUGAAUAUUGUUUCUACACCCCCACCCCCGAACUUGUGACAUAAAUAUCGUGGGAGCCUUUUUUGUGGAACCUGCUUCCGCUGCACCAUAUAAUCGAUGGUAAAUCUGGCGAUGGAAAAUUUCUGUGCUGCCCCUCUUCCCUUGAUGCCCUAAGCAUGUGCUUAUUUUGCUUAAUGGUUAAUCCUGCAAUUAAUCUAAUCUUCCCCUUAAUAUCAGCGGUCUUGUUUUAAUGGAUGCAGCAAGUACUCAUGGGUUAACAAGGCUUAGCAUUUUUAUCUCAGGGAGUAAAAUAGCCUUAACAGUUUUAAAUCCUCACCAUGCACACACACAGAAAUAAGCCCCAUUGAGUUCAAGGGGGCUUACUCCCAGGUAGCUGACUAAAGGUGCCAUUUUAGAAUGUAUCUCCUACCCACUGACUUGGGCGUGAGCCCCAUUGAAUUCAGGCAGAUUUACUUCCGAGUACACAGGCUGAGGAACCAUUUUCAGCCCUUCCAGAGGCUACUUACCCAUGAGGGACAUGCAAGAGUGGGAGGAGCAAUAUACAUGCACAAUACACAUGUUUCUACACAUACUCUCACCCUUUGUAUCCUCUACCCAGACAAGCAAGAGACACCAUCAGAGUCCAAGGGCACGUUCUAGUCAGGCAAAAGCACUCAAGGAGGGUGCAAAACAGGGGCAGUAAGGGGUGUGGCCUGGGGGGAGAUCCAAGGGUCUGGCAGAGAGGUCUGAAGGUUCCCUACCUCUAGGAUCAAGGACUGUACAGUGGUACCUUGGUACUCAAACAACUUGGAACCCAAACACUGCAAACCCAGAAGAGUGUGUUCUGGUUUGCGAACUUCUUUCAGAAGCUGAACGUGCUCCGUUUUGAGUGUUAUGCUUCUGAUUUGAGUGUCACGCUUCCGUUUUGAGUAUUAUGCUGAGGUCAGCCUGUUUUUGCUAUAUAUUUUGCAUUUUUGUUUUUGCGGCUCUUUUUGUUUUGUUUUUGUGACUGUGUGGAACCCAGUUCAGCUACUGAUUGAUUGAUUGUGUGACUGCACUACAUUGUUUAUUGCUUUCAUUUUAUGGAUCAAUGGUCUCGUUAGAGGGUAAAAUUCAUGUUAAUUUGCUGUUUUAGGGGUUGUUUUUAAAAGUCUGGAAUGGAUUGAUCCAUUUUGCAUUACUUUCUAUGGGAAAGCAUGCCUUGGUUUUGGAACGCUUUGGUUUUGGAACAGACUUCCAGAAGGGAUUAAGUUUGAGAACCAAGGUACCACUGUACUGUAAAAGAAUGUGGCUCCAUCCCAGUGCAACAUGGCUGGGUUGUGAGGAAGACAGCAAGUCGGAGGGGUGGGGGAAGAAUGAAUUGUUGCUCUUGAUUGGCAAUUCACUUUCUUGCAGCAGACGAAAGCAAGCCGCAUUUGUUUCAGCUGUGCCAAGGCAGAUUUAUUUUAAUAAUUCAAAAUACUUCCAGGGCAGGAGAUGCUUGCCACAGGCUAAAUGUGCAACUGCUUGCACUCAUUCAAAGUGCUCCUCUCUGCCUUCUCGCUCCCCAGUGUCACAGCCCUUCACUCUGGCAGAGAAAUACAAGCUCCCCCUGAUCCCAAAGAGCCACUUGCCAGCCUGCAAUGCAACCCUUCCUUCUUGGAUAAGCCUUUGGUCUGGCACUGUUUGGAGUUACAAGGCACGACCUGCCAGCCAGCGAUUCUAACGAGCUUUGGGUAUCGGCGCACAAGGAAAGCGUCGGCAGGCCUCAUUACAUCGUGUUUAUAUAUGCUGGAAGCAGGACAGAAGCUCCAAGAGCUCAACAGGCACAUCGGUGCCUUUGAGACUGGCUGAGUCUGGGCUCAGCAGUCACAGAGACUUGAUGCAGCUGGUGAAGGAGGUAGAUGUGAGCAAACAUGUCCCCCCACACCAAUGCCCAGGCUACAAUAUACCACUUAACCCCCAUCAGUGCCAUCAAACUGUCUCUCACUGUGCCAUUAAGAUUAUGAAAGUGCCAUCAGCAUAGCUCAUAACCUGGGACGA